Durio zibethinus is the source of this 611-nucleotide non-coding RNA. Lineage: Eukaryota; Viridiplantae; Streptophyta; Magnoliopsida; Malvales; Malvaceae. The record is from RefSeq and is a predicted model, not a curated record.
UUUCUGCUAGCUUUUAUAAUUUUUAGGGCAGGUUUGGAUGUUCAAUAUCAAUGGAGUGAUUCUUUUGCUUUCCUGAGAUGAGAGUUGAGAGGAAACAGAAUCAUUUUAGGGACACGUCAGUAAAUCUAAAGCCACAAUUUCACUUAAGUUGAUGUCCAGAAAAUAAAGAAAUUAAUUCAACUCAAAAGCUAAUGGUUUGUGAACAUACCAUAAUAACUAAAUUUUAGUGGGAUGUUCUAGUGUGCCUCAGCUUAUUUUGGGCAACUUGCAGCUAAGUUGUUUUCUGGUCAUGUUGAUGCUUAGUUACUAAGUUAUGAGCUUGCUUGGGCUCAUAUCUUAUCUGUUUUUAUAAAAUGCACUAAUUUCGGAGGUUUCUUUUGCUUUUUUGUUGCUUUUACACGUGUUUCUUCCUUUGCACUUUGUCAAAUUUCUUAUAAAGGAAAAAUCAAAAUAAUAUUUCAUGAAAACAAGCAAACAGCUACAUUGUAAUACCAGUUCAAGCAUAAUCCUUGGCAACCCUUUGAACAAUUUACCUAAAGAUAGUGAUCUCUACAUAGCAAAACGAAACGAAGCUUUACACAAAUAUGAGAUCUUGUUAGAGUUGGAGAAGA